Molecule: ribosomal RNA, 909 nt
Filed under: Paraconiothyrium fuckelii
Lineage: Eukaryota; Fungi; Ascomycota; Dothideomycetes; Pleosporales; Didymosphaeriaceae
Also listed under: 1 other name
Description: eukaryotic LSU rRNA
Rfam family: Eukaryotic large subunit ribosomal RNA
Source: RNAcentral
GCAUAUCAAUAAGCGGAGGAAAAGAAACCAACAGGGAUUGCCCUAGUAACGGCGAGUGAAGCGGCAACAGCUCAAAUUUGAAAUCUGGCUCUCUUUGGGGGUCCGAGUUGUAAUUUGCAGAGGAUGCUUUGGCAUUGGCGGCGGUCUAAGUUCCUUGGAACAGGACAUCGCAGAGGGUGAGAAUCCCGUACGUGGGCGCCUGCCUUUGCCGUGUAAAGCUCCUUCGACGAGUCGAGUUGUUUGGGAAUGCAGCUCUAAAUGGGAGGUAAAUUUCUUCUAAAGCUAAAUACCGGCCAGAGACCGAUAGCGCACAAGUAGAGUGAUCGAAAGAUGAAAAGUACUUUGGAAAGAGAGUCAAAAAGCACGUGAAAUUGUUGAAAGGGAAGCGCUUGCAGCCAGACUUGCCCGCAGUUGCUCACCUAGGCUUUGGCCUGGGGCACUCUUCUGCGGGCAGGCCAGCAUCAGUUUGGGCGGUUGGAUAAAGGCCUCUGUCACGUAUCUCCCUUCGGGGUGACCUUAUAGGGGAGGCGUAAUGCAACCAGCCCGGACUGAGGUCCGCGCAUCUGCUAGGAUGCUGGCGUAAUGGCUGUAAGCGGCCCGUCUUGAAACACGGACCAAGGAGUCUAACAUCUAUGCGAGUGUUUGGGUGUCAAGCCCGGGCGCGCAAUGAAAGUGAACGGAGGUGGGAACCCUUUGGGUGCACCAUCGACCGAUCCUGAUGUCUUCGGAUGGAUUUGAGUAAGAGCAUAGCUGUUGGGACCCGAAAGAUGGUGAACUAUGCUUGAAUAGGGUGAAGCCAGAGGAAACUCUGGUGGAGGCUCGCAGCGGUUCUGACGUGCAAAUCGAUCGUCAAAUUUGGGCAUAGGGGCGAAAGACUAAUCGAACCAUCUAGUAGCUGGUUCCUGCCGA